GCGGAGGAAAAGAAACCAACAGGGAUUGCCCCAGUAACGGCGAGUGAAGCGGCAACAGCUCAAAUUUGAAAUCUGGUCCCCCCGCGGGGCCCGAGUUGUAAUUUGAAGAGGAUGCUUCUGGCAAGGUGCCGUCCGAGUUCCCUGGAACGGGACGCCGCAGAGGGUGAGAGCCCCGUACGGUCGGACGCCGAGCCUCUGUGAAGCUCCUUCGACGAGUCGAGUAGUUUGGGAAUGCUGCUCAAAAUGGGAGGUAAACCCCUUCUAAAGCUAAAUACCGGCCAGAGACCGAUAGCGCACAAGUAGAGUGAUCGAAAGAUGAAAAGCACUUUGAAAAGAGAGUUAAAAAGCACGUGAAAUUGUUGAAAGGGAAGCGCUUGCGACCAGACUCGCGCCCGUCGGAUCAGCCGUCGCUCGUCGGCGGCGCACUCCGGCGGGCUCGGGCCAGCAUCAGUUCGCCUCGGGGGGAGAAAGGCGGCGGGAAUGUGGCUCUACGGAGUGUUAUAGCCCGCCGCGUAAUACCC
This 521-nucleotide ribosomal RNA is filed under the name Microascus gracilis. Its description in RNAcentral is "eukaryotic LSU rRNA". It matches the Rfam family "Eukaryotic large subunit ribosomal RNA", at positions 50 to 575 of the family's 3401-position model. Lineage: Eukaryota; Fungi; Ascomycota; Sordariomycetes; Microascales; Microascaceae. The record is from RNAcentral.